ACUGGUAUUUAAUAUCCAAUAUAUGAUUUAACGGGCACAGUCGUUGUUCUGUAUGUUUUAGUUUUAGUCGUAUAGUGUUUUGCGUGUAUCUUAUUGUUCAUCAAUGUUUGUGUGCAAGAUUAUCCUUCAUUUUCCUUCCUCUUUUUUCUAUUCACUGAGUUAUGACUUAGAUUGCAUACCUUUUAGAUCUUGUUAAUGGUGGCUUUAUACCUCAGUUCUUACACUCACUGAGAUUGGCUCUCUU
This 244-nucleotide long non-coding RNA is filed under the name Elaeis guineensis (African oil palm). RNAcentral describes it as "long non-coding RNA (EGUI_LNC001795)". Lineage: Eukaryota; Viridiplantae; Streptophyta; Magnoliopsida; Arecales; Arecaceae. The record is from RNAcentral.